GACGAACGCUGGCGGCGUGCUUAACACAUGCAAGUCGAACGGUGAAGCGCCUUCCUUUUUUGUCGGUGUGGAUGAGCGGCGAACGGGUGAGUAACUCGUGAGUAACCUGCUCCCUCUUUCUGGAUAACCGCAUGAAAGUGCUGCUAAUACGGGAUAUUCUGGGCCUGUUGCAUGAUGGGUCUGGGACAGAUUUUGUUUCGGUUGGGGAUGGGCUCGCGGUUUAUCAGCUUGUUGGUGGGGUGAUGGCCUACCAAGGCGGUGACGCGUGGCCGGCCUGAGAGGGUGGGCGGCAACACUGCGGAUGCGCGACGGAGAAGACUACGGCGGGAAGCAGCAGUGAGGAAUAUGGCACGAUCGGAGGAAGGAUGAUGCAGCGACGCGGGGUGGGGGAUGGAGUCCGUCGGGUAAUGAACCUCUUUCGCGAGUGAAGCAGGGCUGCCGCGUCUGUGGGUGUGUUGACGGUAGCUAGAUAAGAAGCGACGGCUAACUACGUG
This 494-nucleotide ribosomal RNA is filed under the name uncultured bacterium. RNAcentral describes it as "partial 16S ribosomal RNA". It matches the Rfam family "Bacterial small subunit ribosomal RNA", at positions 28 to 507 of the family's 1533-position model. The record is from RNAcentral.